Molecule: non-coding RNA, 72 nt
Filed under: uncultured Prevotella sp.
Lineage: Bacteria; Pseudomonadati; Bacteroidota; Bacteroidia; Bacteroidales; Prevotellaceae
Description: L13-Bacteroidia ribosomal protein leader
Rfam family: L13-Bacteroidia ribosomal protein leader
Source: RNAcentral
GGGGAGUCUUAGGCCCCCAAGGUUCGGCAUGUUAAUAGUGGUACUUUUGGCCAGGUGCCAUGGUUAGUGAAU